RNAcentral lists this ribosomal RNA (253 nucleotides) under uncultured bacterium. RNAcentral describes it as "partial 16S ribosomal RNA". It matches the Rfam family "Bacterial small subunit ribosomal RNA", at positions 524 to 776 of the family's 1533-position model. The record is from RNAcentral.
UACGAAGGGGGCUAGCGUUGCUCGGAAUCACUGGGCGUAAAGGGCGCGUAGGCGGCCGCUCAAGUCGGGGGUGAAAGCCUGUGGCUUAACCACAGAAUUGCCUUCGAUACUGUUUGGCUUGAGACCGGAAGAGGUUAGUGGAACUGCGAGUGUAGAGGUGAAAUUCGUAGAUAUUCGCAAGAACACCAGUGGCGAAGGCGGCUGACUGGUCCGGUUCUGACGCUGAGGCGCGAAAGCGUGGGGAGCAAACAGG